This 35-nucleotide non-coding RNA is filed under the name unclassified sequences. RNAcentral's name for it is "DUF805b RNA". It matches the Rfam family "DUF805b RNA". From Rfam's summary of the family: Bacteroidetes, Chlorobi (1 example), Proteobacteria. Lineage (Flavobacteria) The record is from RNAcentral.
AUGGCGGAACCCGAAAAGCCAGAAAAGAGUAGGGA